UGGGGAAUUUUGCGCAAUGGGCUAACGCCUGACGCAGCAACGCCGCGUGGAGGAUGAAGGUCUUUGGAUUGUAAACUCCUGUCAGCAGGGAAAAAGCGACUCAGCCUAAUACGCUGGGGAGUUGAUUGUACCUGCAGAGGAAGCCCCGGCUAACUCUGUGCCAGCAGCCGCGGUAAGACGGGGGGGGCAAGUGUUCUUCGGAAUGACUGGGCGUAAAGGGCACGUAGGCGGUGAAUCGGGUUGAAAGUGAAAGCCGCCAAAAACUGGCGGAAUGCUCUCGAAACCAAUUCACUUGAGUGAGACAGAGGAGAGUGGAAUUUCGUGUGUAGGGGUGAAAUCCGGAGAUCUACGAAGGAACGCCAAAAGCGAAGGCAGCUCUCUGGGUCCCCACCGACGCUGAGGUGCGAAAGCAUGGGGAGCGAA
RNAcentral lists this ribosomal RNA (423 nucleotides) under uncultured bacterium. Its description in RNAcentral is "bacterial SSU rRNA". It matches the Rfam family "Bacterial small subunit ribosomal RNA", at positions 355 to 772 of the family's 1533-position model. The record is from RNAcentral.